UACGAAGGGACCUAGCGUAGUUCGGAAUUACUGGGCUUAAAGAGUUCGUAGGUGGUUAAAAAAGUUGAUGGUGAAAUCCCAGAGCUUAACUCUGGAACUGCCAUCAAAACUUUUUAGCUAGAGUAUGAUAGAGGAAAGCAGAAUUUCUAGUGUAGAGGUGAAAUUCGUAGAUAUUAGAAAGAAUACCAAUUGCGAAGGCAGCUUUCUGGAUCAUUACUGACGCUGAGGAACGAAAGCAUGGGUAGCGAAGAGG
Molecule: ribosomal RNA, 253 nt
Filed under: uncultured Pelagibacterales bacterium
Lineage: Bacteria; Pseudomonadati; Pseudomonadota; Alphaproteobacteria; Candidatus Pelagibacterales
Description: partial 16S ribosomal RNA
Rfam family: Bacterial small subunit ribosomal RNA
Source: RNAcentral